CCUACGGGAGGCAGCAGUGAGGAAUAUUGGUCAAUGGGCGAGAGCCUGAACCAGCCAAGUCGCGUGAAGGAUGACGGCCCUACGGGUUGUAAACUUCUUUUGUCAGGGAGCAAUUGGGUCCACGCGUGGGCUUAGCGAGAGUACCUGAAGAAAAAGCAUCGGCCAACUCCGUGCCAGCAGCCGCGGUAAUACGGAGGAUGCGAGCGUUAUCCGGAUUUAUUGGGUUUAAAGGGUGCGUAGGCGGAAUAUCAAGUCAGCGGUAAAAAUUCGGGGCUCAACCCCGUCGUGCCGUUGAAACUGAUGUUCUUGAGUGGGCGAGAAGUAUGCGGAAUGCGUGGUGUAGCGGUGAAAUGCAUAGAUAUCACGCAGAACUCCGAUUGCGAAGGCAGCAUACCGGCGCCCAACUGACGCUGAGGCACGAAAGCGCGGGGAUCGAACAGGAUUAGAUACCCCUGUAGUC
RNAcentral lists this ribosomal RNA (460 nucleotides) under uncultured bacterium. RNAcentral describes it as "partial 16S ribosomal RNA". It matches the Rfam family "Bacterial small subunit ribosomal RNA", at positions 338 to 795 of the family's 1533-position model. The record is from RNAcentral.